CUUAUGGCCCUCGCUUUUUCUGUACCGUAAGGUGGUACAGGAACAAGGACUGGGCAAGACCGGUGCCAGCCGCCGCGGUAAUACCGGCAGUUCCAAGUGAUGGCCGAUAUUAUUGGGCCUAAAGCGUCCGUAGCCGGCCGGACAAGUCCGUUGGGAAAUCGACGCGCUCAACGCGUCGGCGUCCAGCGGAAACUAUACGGCUUGGGGCCGGAAGACUUGAGGGGUACGUCCGGGGUAGGAGUGAAAUCCUGUAAUCCUGGACGGACCACCAAUGGGGAAACCACGUCAGGAAGACGGACCCGACGGUGAGGGACGAAAGCUAGGGUCUCGAACCGGAUUAGAUACCCGGGUAGUCCUAGCUGUAAACGAUGCUCGCUAGGUGUGCCGUGGGCUACGAGCAUGCGAUGCGCCGUAGGGAAGCCGAGAAGCGAGCCGCCUGGGAAGUACGUCUGCAAGGAUGAAACUUAAAGGAAUUGGCGGGGGAGCACCACAACCGGAGGAGCCUGCGGUUUAAUUGGACUCAACGCCGGACAUCUCACCGGUCCCGACAGUAGUAAUGACGGUCAGGUUGACGACUUUACCCGACGCUACUGAGAGGAGGUGCAUGGCCGCCGUCAGCUCGUACCGUGAGGCGUCCUGUUAAGUCAGGCAACGAGCGAGACCCGCACUUCUAGUUGCCAGCAAUACCCUUGAGGUAGUUGGGUACACUAGGAGGACUGCCGCUGCUAAAGCGGAGGAAGGAACGGGCAACGGUAGGUCAGUAUGCCCCGAAUGGACCGGGCAACACGCGGGCUACAAUGGCUCUGACAGUGGGAUGCAACGCCGAGAGGCGAAGCUAAUCUCCAAACGGAGUCGUAGUUCGGAUUGCGGGCUGAAACCCGCCCGCAUGAAGCUGGAUUCGGUAGUAAUCGCGUGUCAGAAGCGCGCGGUGAAUACGUCCCUGCUCCUUGCACACACCGCCCGUCAAAGCACCCGAGUGGGGUCCGGAUGAGGGCCUU
This 998-nucleotide ribosomal RNA is filed under the name Haloarcula sp. RNAcentral's name for it is "bacterial SSU rRNA". It matches the Rfam family "Archaeal small subunit ribosomal RNA", at positions 394 to 1387 of the family's 1478-position model. The record is from RNAcentral. Lineage: Archaea; Methanobacteriati; Methanobacteriota; Halobacteria; Halobacteriales; Haloarculaceae.